This is a long non-coding RNA of Bos taurus (domestic cattle), 1650 nucleotides long. The record is from Ensembl. NCBI's taxonomy places the organism in Eukaryota, Metazoa, Chordata, Mammalia, Artiodactyla, Bovidae.
GCCCUGCUUCUCUCCUGGGACAGGGUCACGGACCAAGUCCCCAAGUUCCUCCGCCUGGGAUCUGAGGACCUUCUUGAGGUGGCCCAGCCACAUGUGGCAUCACCCAGCUCCGACCCAACUGAGGGACCUACUCCUAGGACAGCACUCCAGCCUACAAUCCACACCCACAAAGGAAAGGUUCCCACCUUGGUAGGGUUCCAGCCCUACCACUGCAAUUUAAAAAGGACUCAAACUAACGAACGUUUAUUUUCAUCUGCCUCGGCAGGCACCAUGAGUUACUAGAAAGAAGUGAUGAAGGUAACGUCCUGGCAGUCCAGUGCUUAGGACUCCUGGCUUUCACUGCCAAGGGCGCAGGUUCCAUCCCUGGUUGGGAACUAAUACUAAGAUCCGCCAAGGCGCUACGAAGACUCCGCGAGUUGUUCUGCUCGGUCAAAGGGAAAAAAGAAAAGUUAUGCCACACUGUGUGCUACCUUCAUAUUAGGUGAGUUUGCAGCUCACCUGAUAAGGACGCUUCAUUCUGUCCCAUCUCACAGAAACUGAGUCCAGGAUGGGUGGUGAUCGAUCCCAGGCUAUGAAGAGAGACUGUGGGAGAGUCAGGGAUCCAACAAGAGACUCCUGCUUCUCCCCGCUGGCCAGGAUAGCUGGAGGUCACAAGUAAUUUCAGGAGGAGGAAACUGGCCCAGCGAGGCAGCCUCAGAUCACAGGCAAGUAAGCAGGGGGCCCAGACCCUGCACUCUACCCUCUGUACCAGAAACGGGAGCCUCUACGGGGCCCCUGCGGUCCCUCCACCGUCCAGGAAAUCCCUUCCAGCCGAGCGGUCCUGGACGUGCUGGGCCAGCCGCCGGGCCUCCUGAGAACACAAGAGCACAGCGGGCAGGUGUAUGAAGCGACGCCUCCGAAUCCUCGCUGGCGUGCUUGAAGACCUCCGAGCGGGAAGUGCUGUGGCUCCGGCGAUGCGGGGAGCUCCCGGGGAGGGACGGGGACAGGAGGAGCGCCUGGGCUCCGGCCACACCGGGCCAACACCAUCCCCGGCGGUGAGCGGGUGACGGGCCUCCCGAGGUGGGCAGGGUCCAUCCUAGGGAAGGAGGGCCCAUGGCCCCCGAAGAGGCUCGGGGUCGAGGAGCCCUCUGAGAGCCUGAGGGGCGGACAAACGCAGGAUCCUCUAAAUUAGCUCUUUCCACGGAACCCACCAGCUCCGAGUCGUUCCGCCCCGCGUGCCUGCGUCUGAGCGGGCGCCCCAGCGGACGCACCGCGCCGCUCGGGCCUCUCCGGCCGUGCGGAGCUCAGGCCCUGCCUCCCGGCGCCGGCUGGCAGUGCGGGAGCCUCUCGGGUCCGAGCGCGGCGGGAAGUGGCCCGAGACGCGGCCCUGGGACAUCCGUCCGCGGCGCGGUGGAGAUGGACUCUAAGAGCCCGAAGCCCUCUUCCGGCUCCCAUUGCGGCCGGGCGGGGCCCGAGGCAUCUGUCCCGGCGGGAAACAAACACCCGCGAACCACAGUUCCGGGUGCCUGCGCGCCUCACCUCUGCCAUCGGAGGAUUGAAAAAAAGAAAAUACCCAGCCAGUAUAAAGUCACUAUUCGGAGACGCGGCAGAUGCGGAGGGAGGGAAGACAAAAGAGAUAGCUUUUGUCCGAAAAGUGACUUGCCUUUAAAG